ACAGCGGAGGGAUCAUUACCGGGUUUACAACUCCCAAACCCCUGUGAACAUACCACUUGUUGCCUCGGCGGAUCAGCCCGCUCCCGGUAAAACGGGACGGCCCGCCAGAGGACCCCUAAAACUCUGUUUCUAUAUGUAACUUCUGAGUAAAACCAUAAAUAAAUCAAAACUUUCAACAACGGAUCUCUUGGUUCUGGCAUCGAUGAAGAACGCAGCAAAAUGCGAUAAGUAAUGUGAAUUGCAGAAUUCAGUGAAUCAUCGAAUCUUUGAACGCACAUUGCGCCCGCCAGUAUUCUGGCGGGCAUGCCUGUUCGAGCGUCAUUUCAACCCUCAAGCACAGCUUGGUGUUGGGACUCGCGUUAAUUCGCGUUCCUCAAAUUGAUUGGCGGUCACGUCGAGCUUCCAUAGCGUAGUAGUAAAACCCUCGUUACUGGUAAUCGUCGCGGCCACGCCGUUAAACCCCAACUUCUGAAUGUUGACCUCGGAUCAGGUAGGAAUACCCGCUGAACUUAAGCAUAUCAAUAAGCGGAGGA
Molecule: ribosomal RNA, 533 nt
Filed under: uncultured Fusarium
Lineage: Eukaryota; Fungi; Ascomycota; Sordariomycetes; Hypocreales; Nectriaceae
Description: eukaryotic LSU rRNA
Rfam family: 5.8S ribosomal RNA (bases 168-321)
Source: RNAcentral